This 494-nucleotide ribosomal RNA is filed under the name uncultured bacterium. Its description in RNAcentral is "partial 16S ribosomal RNA". It matches the Rfam family "Bacterial small subunit ribosomal RNA", at positions 28 to 506 of the family's 1533-position model. The record is from RNAcentral.
GACGAACGCUGGCGGCGUGCCUAAUACAUGCCAGUAGAACGCUGAAGGAGGAGCUUGCUCUUCUGGAUGAGUUGCGAACGGGUGAGUAACGCGUAGGUAACCUGCCUGGUAGCGGGGGAUAACUAUUGGAAACGAUAGCUAAUACCGCAUAACAGUAGAUGUUGCAUGACAUUUGCUUAAAAGGUGCAAUUGCAUCACUACCAGAUGGACCUGCGUUGUAUUAGCUAGUUGGUGGGGUAACGGCUCACCAAGGCGACGAUACAUAGCCGACCUGAGAGGGGGAUCGGCCACCCUGGGACUGAGACCGGGCCCAGGCUCCUACGGGAGGCAGCAGUAGGGAAUCUUCGGCAAUGGACGGAAUUCUGACCGAGCAACGCCGCGGGAGUGAAGAAGGUUUUCGGAUCGUAAAGCUCUUUUGUAAGAGAAGAACGGGUGUGGGGGUGGAAAUUUCACCCUGUGACGGUAUUUUACCAGAAAGGGACGGCAAACUCAGU